RNAcentral lists this long non-coding RNA (529 nucleotides) under Homo sapiens (human). Its description in RNAcentral is "long non-coding RNA NONHSAT159509.1". Lineage: Eukaryota; Metazoa; Chordata; Mammalia; Primates; Hominidae. The record is from RNAcentral.
GAACAAUCUUUGAUUUCUCACAGGUUUUCUUGAUGUGACACUCCGAAAAUCAAAACGAGGGGAGAGAAAGAGAACUUCAAAUAGAUACAAUGGCAUUUAGUGAAGAAAGAGUGAAAGAGGAAUUGGAAUGGUUACCUUGGAGAUCCUGGAGAAAGUAGAAAAACGAUGACAGCAAAUAUCUGUAUGGUUAUGUGUUCACCCAGCUGUCACAUGGGGUGAGAAAAUCAUGGCCAUUUCCUACAAGCCCCUUUUCUAAAGAAUUGGAAAAAAGGCACAGCCAAAGACCCUGCAUAGUUCAGCUUGGAUCACAAGCACACCUCUAGACCUGUCACUUGAGCCACGAAGAAUGAAGUACUCUGAUUAGCCCAUUGUGGCCAGAAGAGCAGAUGCACUGACAAGAAAUCCUGCCAGAAUCACAUGAUACAUGUAGAUCUUUUAUUUCUAACAAUGUUUUCUUAUCUAUAAAAUGUGUAAUCAUACCUCCCAAUAGAGGUAGUAAUGAUGAUUAAAUGACAUUAUGUUUUGAAAA